This 66-nucleotide transfer RNA is filed under the name unidentified. RNAcentral's name for it is "Epeorus sp. 02 ZXM-2022a tRNA-Met". The record is from RNAcentral.
AGAAAAAUAAGCUAAGUUUAAGCUCAUAGGUUCAUACCCUAUUUAUGGAGAUUACUCCUUUUUCUA